This 222-nucleotide ribosomal RNA is filed under the name uncultured bacterium. Its description in RNAcentral is "partial 16S ribosomal RNA". It matches the Rfam family "Bacterial small subunit ribosomal RNA", at positions 109 to 334 of the family's 1533-position model. The record is from RNAcentral.
AGUAAUGUAUGGGGAUCUGCCCGAUAGAGGGGAAUAACUACUGGAAACGGUGGCUAAUACCGCAUAAUGUCUACGGACCAAAGCAGGGGCUCUUCGGACCUUGCACUAUCGGAUGAACCCAUAUGGGAUUAGCUAGUAGGUGGGGUAAAGGCUCACCUGGGCGACGAUCUCUAGCUGGUCUGAGAGGAUGGUCAGCCACACUGGGACUGAGACACGGCCCAG